This 360-nucleotide ribosomal RNA is filed under the name uncultured bacterium. RNAcentral describes it as "partial 16S ribosomal RNA". It matches the Rfam family "Bacterial small subunit ribosomal RNA", at positions 338 to 696 of the family's 1533-position model. The record is from RNAcentral.
CCUACGGGAGGCAGCAGUGAGGAAUAUUGGUCAAUGGACGGGAGCCUGAACCAGCCAAGCCGCGUGAGGGAAGAAGGUACAGCGUAUCGUAAACCUCUUUUGUCAGGGAACAAAGGCGGGGACUAGUCCCCGGAUGAGGGUACCUGAAGAAAAAGCAUCGGCUAACUCCGUGCCAGCAGCCGCGGUAAUACGGAGGCGGCGAGCGUUAUCCGGAUUUAUUGGGUUUAAAGGGUGGGCAGGCGGCCUGUUAAGUCAGCGGGAAAAGCCCGGGGCUCAACCACGGCGAGCCUUUGAAACUGGCGGGCUGGAGUGGGAGAGAAGUACGCGGAAGGCGCGGUGUAGCGGUGAAAUGCUUAGAUA